GACGAACGCUGGCGGCGUGCUUAACACAUGCAAGUCGAACGGAAAGGCCCUGCUUUUGUGGGGUGCUCGAGUGGCGAACGGGUGAGUAACACGUGAGUAACCUGCCCUUGACUUUGGGAUAACUUCAGGAAACUGGGGCUAAUACCGGAUAGGAGCUCCUGCAGCAUGGUGGGGGUUGGAAAGUUUCGGCGGUUGGGGAUGGACUCGCGGCUUAUCAGCUUGUUGGGGGGGUAGGGGCUUACCAAGGCUUUGACGGGUAGCCGGCCUGAGAGGGUGACCGGCCACAUUGGGACUGCGAUACGGCCCAGUCUCCUACGGGAGGCAGCAGUGGAGAAUAUUGCACAAUGGGCGGGAGCCUGAUGCAGCAACGCCGCGUGCGGGAUGACGGCCUUCGGGUUGUAAACCGCUUUCGCCUGUGACGAAGCGUGAGUGACGGUAAUGGGUAAAGAAGCACCGGCUAACUACGUG
Molecule: ribosomal RNA, 468 nt
Filed under: uncultured bacterium
Lineage: Bacteria
Description: partial 16S ribosomal RNA
Rfam family: Bacterial small subunit ribosomal RNA
Source: RNAcentral